UACCAGACUCCUACGGGAGGCAGCAGCGGGGGAUAUUGCACAAUGGGGGAAACCCUGAUGCAGCGACGCCGCGUGUGGGAAGACGGUACUCUGGAUUGUAAACCACUGUCCCCAGGGACGAAAAUGACGGUACCUGGGGAGGAAGCUCCGGCUAACUACGUGCCAGCAGCCGCGGUAAUACGUAGAGAGCGAGCGUUAAUCGGAAUUACUGGGCGUAAAGCGCACGUAGGCUGUAUGACAAGUCAAGGGUGAAAUGCCACGGCUCAACCGUGGAACUGCCUUUGAAACUGUCAAACUGGAGUAUGUGAGAGGGCGGCGGAAUUCCUGGUGUAGGAGUGAAAUCCGUAGAUAUCAGGAGGAACAUCAGUGGCGAAGGCGGCCGCCUGGCACAAAACUGACGCUGAGGUGCGAAAGCGUGGGUAGCAAACAGGAUUAG
RNAcentral lists this ribosomal RNA (436 nucleotides) under uncultured bacterium. Its description in RNAcentral is "bacterial SSU rRNA". It matches the Rfam family "Bacterial small subunit ribosomal RNA", at positions 329 to 781 of the family's 1533-position model. The record is from RNAcentral.